RNAcentral lists this transfer RNA (74 nucleotides) under Chloroflexota bacterium. RNAcentral's name for it is "Chloroflexi bacterium (groundwater metagenome) tRNA-Thr". It matches the Rfam family "tRNA". From Rfam's summary of the family: Transfer RNA (tRNA) molecules are approximately 80 nucleotides in length. Their secondary structure includes four short double-helical elements and three loops (D, anti-codon, and T loops). Lineage: Bacteria; Bacillati; Chloroflexota. The record is from RNAcentral.
GCCACCAUAGCUCAAAUUGGUAGAGCAACGUGCUUGUACCACGUAGGUUGCAGGUUCGAUGCCUGCUGGUGGCU